Molecule: ribosomal RNA, 506 nt
Filed under: uncultured bacterium
Lineage: Bacteria
Description: partial 16S ribosomal RNA
Rfam family: Bacterial small subunit ribosomal RNA
Source: RNAcentral
GAUGAACGCUAGCUACAGGCUUAACACAUGCAAGUCGAGGGGUAACGAGAGGAAAGCUUGCUUUCCUUGUCGACGACCGGCGCACGGGUGGGUAACGCGUAUCCAACCUGCCCCCAACUAGGGAAUAACCUUGCGAAAGUAAGACUAAUACCCUAUAAUUUCCUCAGAUGUCAUCUGACGAGGAAUAAAGAUUUAUCGGUUGUGGAUGGGGAUGCGUCUGAUUAGCUUGUUGGCGGGGUAACGGCCCACCAAGGCAACGAUCAGUAGGGGUUCUGAGAGGAAGGUCCCCCAAAUUGGAACUGGGACACGGUCCAAACUCCUACGGGAGGCAGCAGUGAGGAAUAUUGGUCAAUGGGCGGAAGCCUGAACCAGCCAAGUAGCGUGCAGGAUGACGGCCCUAUGGGUUGUAAACUGCUUUUAUACAGGAAUAAAGUUAGCCACGUGUGGUUAUUUGUAGGUACUGUAUGAAUAAGGACCGGCUAAUUCCGUGCCAGCCGCCGCCGUAA